RNAcentral lists this ribosomal RNA (406 nucleotides) under uncultured bacterium. Its description in RNAcentral is "partial 16S ribosomal RNA". It matches the Rfam family "Bacterial small subunit ribosomal RNA", at positions 30 to 526 of the family's 1533-position model. The record is from RNAcentral.
AUUGCACGCUGGCGGCAGGCCUAACACAUGCAAGUCGAACGAGUGGCGGACGGGUGAGUAAGGUCUGGGAAACUGCCUGAUGGAGGGGGAUAACUACUGGAAACGGUAGCUAAUACCGCAUACCAUCAGAUGUGCCAAGAUGGGAUGAGCUUGUUGGUGGGGUAACGGCUCACCACUGCUACGAUCCAUAGCUGGUCUGAGAGGAUGACCAGCCAGACUGGAACUGAGACACGGUCCAGACGCCUACGGGAGGCAGUAUGGGGGAAGAUUGCACAAUGUGCGCAAGCCUGAUGCAGCCAUGCCGCGUGUAUGAAGAAGGCCUUCGGGUUGUAAAGUACUUUCAGCGGGGAGGCGUUACCCGCAGAAGAAGCACCGGCUAACUCCGUGCCAGCAGCCGCGGUAAUUC